RNAcentral lists this ribosomal RNA (252 nucleotides) under uncultured bacterium. RNAcentral's name for it is "partial 16S ribosomal RNA". It matches the Rfam family "Bacterial small subunit ribosomal RNA", at positions 524 to 775 of the family's 1533-position model. The record is from RNAcentral.
UACGAAGGGAGCUAGCGUUGUUCGGAAUAACUGGGCGUAAAGGGUGCGUAGGUGGGCGUGUGCGUUAGAUGUGAAAUCCCCGGGCUUAACCUGGGAACUGCAUUUAAUACGGCACGUCUAGAGUGCGAGAGGGGAAAGCGGAAUGGCGAGUGGAGCAGUGAAAUGCAUUGAGAUCCGCUAGAACACCAGAGGCGAAGGCGGCUUUCUGGCUCGCUACUGACACUAAGGCACGAAAGUGUGGGGAGCAAACAG